Molecule: ribosomal RNA, 506 nt
Filed under: uncultured bacterium
Lineage: Bacteria
Description: partial 16S ribosomal RNA
Rfam family: Bacterial small subunit ribosomal RNA
Source: RNAcentral
GAUGAACGCUAGCUACAGGCUUAACACAUGCAAGUCGAGGGGUAACGAGAGGAAAGCUUGCUUUCCUUGUCGACGACCGGCGCACGGGUGAGUAACGCGUAUCCAACCUGCCCCCAACUAGGGAAUAACCUUGCGAAAGUAAGACUAAUACCCUAUAAUUUCCUCAGAUGUCAUCUGACGAGGAAUAAAGAUUUAUCGGUUGUGGAUGGGGAUGCGUCUGAUUAGCUUGUUGGCGGGGUAACGGCCCACCAAGGCAACGAUCAGUAGGGGUUCUGAGAGGAAGGGCCCCCACAUUGGAACUGCGACACGGUCCAAGCUCCUACGGGGGGCAGCAGUGAGGAAUAUUGGUCAAUGGUCGGAAGCUUGAACCAGCCAAGUAGCGUGCAGGAUGACGGCCCUAUGGGUUGUAAACUGUUUUUAUACAGGAAUAAAGUUAGCCACGUGUGGUUAUUUGUAGGUACUGUAUGAAUAAGGACCGGCUAAUUCCGUGCCAGCCGCCGCGGUAA